This 450-nucleotide ribosomal RNA is filed under the name uncultured bacterium. RNAcentral's name for it is "SSU rRNA". It matches the Rfam family "Bacterial small subunit ribosomal RNA", at positions 26 to 523 of the family's 1533-position model. The record is from RNAcentral.
AGAACGAACGCUGGCGGCAGGCCUAACACAUGCAAGUCGAACGCUCUCGCAAGAGAGAGUGGCGCACGGGUGCGUAACGCGUGGGAACGUACCUCUAGGUAUGGGACAACCCAGGGAAACUUGGGCUAAUACCAUAUAAUAUCUCCGGAUCAAAGAUUUAUCGCCUAGAGAUCGGCCCGCGUUAGAUUAGCUAGUUGGUGAGGUAAUGGCUCACCAAGGCUACGAUCUAUAGCUGGUCUGAGAGGAUGAUCAGCCACACUGGGACUGAGACACGGCCCAGACUCCUACGGGAGGCAGCAGUGAGGAAUAUUGGACAAUGGGGGAAACCCUGAUCCAGCCAUGCCGCGUGAGUGAUGAAGGCCUUCGGGUUGUAAAACUCUUUUAGAUGUGACGAUGAUGACGGUAACAUCAGAAAAGCUCCGGCUAACUUCGUGCCAGCAGCCGCGGUAA